Molecule: ribosomal RNA, 920 nt
Filed under: uncultured bacterium
Lineage: Bacteria
Description: bacterial SSU rRNA
Rfam family: Bacterial small subunit ribosomal RNA
Source: RNAcentral
CGGCUAUUUAAGUUGGAUGUGAAAGCCUACGGCUCAACCGUAGAACUGCAUCCCAAAACUAUUUAGCUAGAGUGUGGGAGAGGAAGAUGGAAUUAGUUGUGUAGGGGUAAAAUCCGUAGAGAUAACUAGGAAUACCAAAAGCGAAGGCAAUCUUCUGGAACAUUACUGACGCUGAGGCGCGAAAGCGUGGGGAGCAAACAGGAUUAGAUACCCUGGUAGUCCACGCCCUAAACGAUGAAUGUUAGUCGUCGGGUAGCUAGUCUAUUCGGUGAUGCAGCUAACGCAUUAAACAUUCCGCCUGGGGAGUACGGUCGCAAGAUUAAAACUCAAAGGAAUAGACGGGGACCCGCACAAGUGGUGGAGCAUGUGGUUUAAUUCGAAGAUACGCGAAGAACCUUACCUAGCCUUGACAUAUUUUAGAACACUUUAGAGAUAGAGUGGUGCCUUCGGGAGCUAAUAUACAGGUGCUGCACGGCUGUCGUCAGCUCGUGUCGUGAGGUGUUGGGUUAAGUCCCGCAACGAGCGCAACCCUCGUCACUAGUUACUAACGGUUCGGCCGAGGACUCUAGUGAGACUGCCUUCGUAAGGAGGAGGAAGGUGAGGACGACGUCAAGUCAUCAUGGCCCUUACGGCUAGGGCAACACACGUGCUACAAUGGCCAGGACAAUGAGAAGCGAUACCGCGAGGUGGAGCAAAUCUAUAAACCUGGUCUCAGUUCGGAUUGUAGUCUGCAACUCGACUACAUGAAGCUGGAAUCACUAGUAAUCGUAGAUCAGCUAUGCUACGGUGAAUACGUUCCCGGGUCUUGUACUCACCGCCCGUCACACCAUGGGAGUUGAUUUCACCCGAAGCGGGGAAGCUAAACUGGCUACCCUCCACGGUGGAAUUAGCGACUGGGGUGAAGUCGUAACAAGGUAACC